CCAGCAAUACUAUUUAAAAGAAUUCAUCCUGAUGAACUCACAAGUGUAGGUAGUGUGCUAUAGGAAGGACAAGUCUAUCACUAACACCACGAGGGUCCCUUCUGGCCCAAUGAGUGGAGUUUGACAGUAAUUUUUGCUACAAGU
Molecule: small nucleolar RNA, 144 nt
Organism: Panthera leo (lion)
Lineage: Eukaryota; Metazoa; Chordata; Mammalia; Carnivora; Felidae
Source: Ensembl